RNAcentral lists this long non-coding RNA (1807 nucleotides) under Onthophagus taurus. RNAcentral's name for it is "uncharacterized LOC111424366". The stretch from base 1 to 76 matches the Rfam family "mir-263 microRNA precursor family", at positions 10 to 86 of the family's 86-position model. The record is from RNAcentral. Lineage: Eukaryota; Metazoa; Arthropoda; Insecta; Coleoptera; Scarabaeidae.
CGAAUGGCACUGGAAGAAUUCACGGGGUACCAUUUUCUAAACACCCGUGGACUUUGAGUGCCAUCCUCAGGGGCGCAAAAAAAAUUCGUCAAAGAUUUUUUUAAAAGUGUUUAGUGUUCGAAAAACAAAAACCAAGUGAUCUUGAAACAGAAAAAAACGUUUUUUCUUCUUAUCCUAACGGUAGUUUUCUUUAACUUUAGAGUAGGAAAUCGGAAUCCUGUUAUUAUAAAUGACUAAUCCGAAUUCCACGUGUUGAAAAAAAUAAUAUCAGUAUAAAAUUGAUUUAAUUUUAUCGGAUUUCAAGAAUUCUUUUUAUACAAAGUGUGAGAAUGUUGCAACUUUUGAAUAACGGCGAACAAACGUCUUUUGGGUAAUAUAGAACAAUGAUGUAGGAAAGAUAGAGAGGCGGCGGUGGCGAUGAGGAGGACGCCGCGCGGUCGUUUUCUGAACCGUGAAAGAAAGCAACCUGGGAACGGAUCUGAUCGUCGGACAACGACGGGAAAAAACCGGGACUGGUUUCAAUGUAAGACGAAACUACAGCCGUAUCGCGUUUUAAACUCUCCCCCUUUUAUCAUCAUACUUCUUCAUCCUUCAUAUGGUGAGCCGGUCAAAACAACAAUAUCAGCUGCGAUGCCGAAAAACUACGCCACGUAUUUAUAUCCAUACUUAUAUUCUAUAUACCAACAUUAUAUGGUGUGUAACACGUUGUAUGUAUGUUAUUAUGUAGUGUGACUGUUCGUGUUGACCUUGUUCGUUACAAAAAAAACUCGCCUACUUUUUUUUUUCUAAAUUUUUUUAUAAAUAAUUAUUAACGCGGUUACUUCUCCCCUACUUUACCUCUUCGUAAUUGUCAUCCUACCGAGAAUCCACACGGUCAACGAACCGGGAACUAAAAACCGACCGCCAUCUAAAACCAUCAUCAUCAGCAGCAACAGCACCACCAACAAAUAACAACAGGUGCGAAACAAAAGGGACUUUCCAUUGUUUUAUAAUUUUUUCUUCCUUCUUUUUUUUUACGUCAUCUUUUUUCAUCCUUUCUAAUCCAUUAUAAAUCUUAAACCCCUUUAAAUUUCUAUCAAUGUUUGUAACAUAUUUGUUUAUUGUAAUAAUUUUUUUUAUUUAUUCUCGGUGAAAAAGAGAAAGAAGGGUCUUCUAUCUAUUUAAGUUGCCUGGUGUUGAUAGCUUCGAACCGUGACGGUGGCUCCCCCCUUGUCACGGACUACCAAUUCCGACUAGAAAAUGUUGUGGAAUGAGAGCGAAGCGUAUAGGUGGCGUGAUGAUUCCCCGACACGGUUUUGUGAUCGCAUUUGUAACUAAUUUCUUCUAUUUUUUUUUAAUUUAAAAUGUUUAUUUCAACAUUUCAUUCUAACAUUAGUUUACAUCUUUUUAUGUUGGUCAACGUGCAUCAAGAAUAUUUUUAAAGUAUAUUUUAGGUUAUAAAAUUAAUUUUUCCUGUAUAAUUGUAUCAAAAAGAACUACUUUCAACUUUAAUUUAUAAUUUUCUUCAAUAACUUCAUUAUAUUUCAAGGCACCACAUUAAUGACAUCUGUCAAAUGUCAAAAAUUGAAUUUUUCAAUAUUAUUACUUAAAUUAUUGCAAAAAAAUUACAAAGGUGAGAUUAUAGUGUGGAAAAUCCUGAAUGAAUCAUUAUUCUGUAUAGAUUGCAACAUUUAAAAAGACAUGACUACUUGUUUUAUGUAAUUAGAUUGAUUGUGGUUAAAAUUACCAGUUUUAAAUUGUUAUAAUCGCUUUUUCUAUGUACUAAUUUUUGUUAGAUAAAAUUUCAAUAAAAAAUCGUGAUUUUUGA